This 253-nucleotide ribosomal RNA is filed under the name uncultured bacterium. Its description in RNAcentral is "partial 16S ribosomal RNA". It matches the Rfam family "Bacterial small subunit ribosomal RNA", at positions 524 to 776 of the family's 1533-position model. The record is from RNAcentral.
UACGUAGGUGGCAAGCGUUGUCCGGAUUUAUUGGGUUUAAAGGGUGCGUAGGCGGCCCCGUAAGUCAGUGCUGAAAUAUCCCGGCUUAACCGGGAGGGUGGCAUUGAUACUGCGAGGCUUGAGUAAAGUUGAGGUAGGCGGAAUUGACGGUGUAGCGGUGAAAUGCUUAGAUAUCGUCAAGAACACCGAUAGUGUAGACAGCUUACUAAGCUUUAACUGACGCUGAGGCACGAAAGCGUGGGGAGCAAACAGG